UGUGGUUUCUGGGAUUUGAACUCAGGAGCAGUCAUUGCUAUUAACCACUGAGCCAUCUCUCCAGCCCAGUGAAAGUCUUUUAAAACCUCAGUGCCCAACCCAGUGGCAGACAUCCUCCAUCAAGGCCACACCUCCCAAUCCUCUCUGAACAUGGCCUCAGCUGGAUUUGAAGGAUUCAUUCCCAUGAGCCUGUGUGGCUGUUCUCAUUCAAACCAGCACAGCAGUCACUGUGAAGUGUAAGAGGCCAGCAGGGUUCUGGAGAUGUGUCCAGUGCAGGCUGAGGGAAAUGCCCUCACACAGGGCACUCUGCUGGGUUAGGUCUCUCCUUUGUCUCUGUCUCCUCCUGCUCAGCCCCUCUAUGUCUCUGUCCCUCAGGUCUCACCCCAUCCGUGCCCAGCUCCCCUCCCUCCUGAGCUCUGCACUGACCCUGUCUCUUCCUUGGCCUCUGGUUUCUCUAUGGCGUCAGCCAGCAGCUGUGAGGCAGCUGUGUGGUUCCUGAGGCAAACAUUCCAAUGGUGGCUGGGGAGAGGGCUCAGCAGCCAGGAGCACUUGUUGCUGGUGCAGAGGAUCCAGGCUGAGUUCCCUCAGCACACGGUGGCUUCCACCGUCUGUGACUUCAGUUCCAAGGGAUCAAUGGCUGUGCACCUACAUGUUUAUAUGCACAAAGAGGACAGGUCAUGAAAAUAAAAUAUAAAAGUAUGAUUUUAAUUAUCCUGCCUGUCUUUCUUCUACACAUCGAGAGUGUGAGGCCAGGGGCGGAGGGCACAGUGCUGUUCAGACAACAGUGGACCACCAGCCAUUGAGAUGGUUGAAAUAGUGUAUUGAAAUGACAAUUUACAGAACAGCAUAAAAUUAAAUAUACAAAAGAUCUUUCACUGUACGGACCUGCUGUGCACAGUGGAUCACGGCCUCAUUCCAGGGAGAAGACACACUGUGUGCUGAUCUUUGUAAUUGAGCAGAUGUCAGUUUUGAUUCCCCAUGAACAGGAUAAAUUCCACUCAGAUGGUUGGAUAUUAAUUUAUAACAGACCAGAACAUCCAAACACCCAGAAUGUUCCUCAGAGAAAGGUGUCCCUUUCCCCAUCUUCCCUCCCACUGCUGACCCUCCAGGUCUCACCUGUUAAAGAUGGUAGAGAAGCGUCCCGUUCUUGUCCAAUAGCACCUCCUGGUGGAAGAAACAGAGAGGACGGAGUCUGAGCCCACGGAGCUGAGGGUAAAGGGGACCCAGGCUGGCUGUGCUGCCCCAGGGCUUCCUUGCUGUCUGUGCUUCUCCAGGGCUCUCAGGUCUCAUGCUGCCCUGCUCUCAUCACACUUACAUCCAGAAGAACUUUACAUGCUUUUCCAGCCCUGGGAAGAAAACGCCCUGUAAGAGGGGAGGCAGGAGGCAGAGCCCUGAGUGCUCAGAGGAGCUGCAAAGCCCCAGAGGCUGUGUUUCCUGUCUCUAGUCCUACAACCAGACUUCAGACAAAGUAGACUCCAGGAGGGGAGGUCGAGUGUGUAGUCCAUGAGGAGGAGCCUCUACUUCUGUGCACACAUGUGAGGAACUUGACAGGUUUGCUAAUUCACUAAGCAGAAGUCUGGGGAACGUGUGGGAGUGGAUUUUGAGGGUGUGGGAUAAUGACGGAAGGAACAUAAAAUUGAAUCUGGGUGAGAUUUUCAGUAUGGGAACACUGACUGGACAUUGGACUUUAAUCUGUGAUUUUUAACCUUUUAAAAAGGUGAAAAAGGUUUGUUUGAAGGGUUGGCUGAACUGUUUAUCAAAAGAAGGUCUACUGAAAAGGGGUUGAAGAUUCAUUGACAGCCCUACCUUACACCUGACCUGGGAGAUAGUAGAGCCAGGAGGAGCUGACUGAGCAGAGAGGCUAGAACGGUUGUCACAGUCUGGAGCUGCUGUAAUUGGGACAUCUGGGAGAAGGGACUGUUUAAGUGCAGUGUCCGGAAUUGAGGGAGGAGUUGGGAGAAACGUUAGACGGGGCUGGGCUGGAUGAUGGAAGGAAUUGUUGGAAAGAAAUUAGAUUGACAGCUCUCUCCCUCUUUCUCUCUCUCCUGCUUCUUUCCUCUCUAGUCAUAGGGGAUAAAACCAGGAGGACAAAGGGUGGGGAAAAAAGAACCAACAAAGUAAGGAAGACCAGCUACAUGGCUCUCUGUGUAUCCCUGGCUGCCCUGGGACUCACUCUGUACCCAAGGCUGGUCUUGAACUCACAGAUCUGCCUGCCUCUGGGUAUGUACAACCAAGGCUCAGGAAAUAUUCUUAAUCAAAUCACCACAGAAGCCUACUGAAGUUUUGUUUGGUCACAUAAGUGGGAAAAUGGUCAACAAAUGAGAGAAAGGCUACAUACUAGUGGCCAAAGAGCAUCUCAUCCCAUGAAUCAGUUUCUAACCUUGAGACAGUUUGCAGAUGCAGAACUCCUUGAAUGAAGGAAUGGCCAGGUUACCCUGAGUAAGUACCUUAUAAAACAUCUAAAAUGUAUACUGCUAGCCUUUCUCCAGUGCUUUCCUAGUGGGACCUACAGGAGACCCAGGGUAACCAUACCCUGGGGAGAAGAACUAAUCAGACUUACCAGGCUCUAUUGCAUAUUAGCCCAAAUUAAUGCUGACUCCAGGAGCUCCGAGGAAACUUUACGGUUCUUCAGUCAGAGUAGAGUGUUAUGGAGGGCCAGGGAUUAAUGAGGUUUUGGCUGAAAUCUGAAUCACAUCAGGCCCAGUGGGUUCCUGAAUUCAUCCUGUGGUUAUUUUUCCAGUCCCAGAAGGUAGAAUUGGGAUACAUGUACUUAGAGGUUGUCAGAAUGCUCACACUGGUUCCCUGACCUGUGGACUGAGGGCUAUCAUGGUUGGAAAGGGUAACUGGAAGCCUUGAGAGUUCCCUCUG
This 2868-nucleotide small RNA is filed under the name Rattus norvegicus (Norway rat). RNAcentral describes it as "uncharacterized LOC108353253". Lineage: Eukaryota; Metazoa; Chordata; Mammalia; Rodentia; Muridae. The record is from RNAcentral.